RNAcentral lists this ribosomal RNA (265 nucleotides) under uncultured archaeon. RNAcentral's name for it is "partial 16S ribosomal RNA". It matches the Rfam family "Archaeal small subunit ribosomal RNA", at positions 719 to 982 of the family's 1478-position model. The record is from RNAcentral.
ACACGACUACAUUAGAUACCCGUGUAGUCCUCGCCGUAAACGAUACUCGCUAGGUGUCGGCCACGGUGCGACCGUUGUCGGUGCCGUAGGGAAGCCGUGAAGCGAGCCACCUGGGAAGUACGGCCGCAAGGCUGAAACUUAAAGGAAUUGGCGGGGGAGCACAACAACGGGUGGAGCUUGCGGUUUAAUUGGAUUCAACGCCGGAAAUCUUACCGGGACCGACAGCAACAUGAAGGCCAAGCUGAAGACUUUGCCGGAUUAGCUG